Molecule: transfer RNA, 62 nt
Filed under: Tettigades chilensis
Lineage: Eukaryota; Metazoa; Arthropoda; Insecta; Hemiptera; Cicadidae
Description: tRNA-Asp
Source: RNAcentral
GAGAAAUUAUUUUAAUUAAAAUAUGAAUCUGUCAGAUUCAAGUUAUCACUUGAUAUUUCUUU